UACAGAGGUGGCAAGCGUUGUUCGGAAUUACUGGGCGUAAAGGGCGCGUAGGCGGCCAUUUAAGUCAGACGUGAAAUCCCCCGGCUUAACCUGGGAACUGCGUCUGAUACUGGACGGCUGGAGUUUGGGAGAGGGAUGUAGAAUUCCAGGUGUAGCGGUGAAAUGCGUAGAUAUCUGGAGGAAUACCGGUGGCGAAGGCGGCAUCCUGGACCAAUACUGACGCUGAGGCGCGAAAGCUUGGGGAGCAAACGGG
RNAcentral lists this ribosomal RNA (253 nucleotides) under uncultured bacterium. RNAcentral's name for it is "partial 16S ribosomal RNA". It matches the Rfam family "Bacterial small subunit ribosomal RNA", at positions 524 to 776 of the family's 1533-position model. The record is from RNAcentral.